AACGAACGCUGGCGGCAUGCCUAACACAUGCAAGUCGAACGAGACCUUCGGGCUUAGUGGCGCAUGGGUGCGUAAAGCGUGGGAAACUGCCUUUAGGUUCGGAAUAACUCCCCGAAAGGGGUGCCAAUACCGGAUAAUGUCUCCGGAACAAAGGUCUAACGCCUUUGGAUGGGCGCGCGUUGGAUUAGCUUGUUGGUAGGGUAAAAGCCUACCAAGGCGACGAUCCAUAGCUGGUCUGAGAGGAUGAUCAGCCACACUGGGACGGAGACACGGCCCAGACUCCUACGGGAGGCAGCAGUGGGGAAUAUUGGACAAUGGGCGAAAGCCUGAACCAGCAAUGCCGCGUGAGUAAUGAAGGCCUUGGGGUUGUAAUGCUCUUUUACCCGGGAUGAUAAUGACGGUACCGGGAGAAUAAGCUCCGGCUAACUCCGUG
RNAcentral lists this ribosomal RNA (433 nucleotides) under uncultured bacterium. RNAcentral describes it as "partial 16S ribosomal RNA". It matches the Rfam family "Bacterial small subunit ribosomal RNA", at positions 29 to 507 of the family's 1533-position model. The record is from RNAcentral.